RNAcentral lists this ribosomal RNA (152 nucleotides) under basidiomycete sp. IasaF07. RNAcentral's name for it is "5.8S ribosomal RNA". It matches the Rfam family "5.8S ribosomal RNA". From Rfam's summary of the family: 5.8S ribosomal RNA (5.8S rRNA) is a component of the large subunit of the eukaryotic ribosome. The record is from RNAcentral. Lineage: Eukaryota; Fungi; Basidiomycota.
ACAACUUUAAGCAACGGAUCUCUUGGCUCUCGCAUCGAUGAAGAACGCAGCGAAAUGCGAUAAGUAAUGUGAAUUGCAGAAUUCAGUGAAUCAUCGAAUCUUUGAACGCACCUUGCGCUCUUUGGUAUUCCGAAGAGCAUGCCUGUUCGAGU